ACAAUUUUGUCCUCCGCCUUUCUGGAGAGUCGGCAGCCUUGGCCUUGCGGGGAGGGAUGCGCGGUGGGCAGCUGGACCGACAGAAAGAGCUUUCAGAUCUCAACGUGUUUGUCAACCGUGCACUUUCCUCAUCUUCAGACUCUAGGCUGGCAGCGAGUUUGGGGCGUUUUGGGGCGGCGGGGGGAGGGGAAGAGGGUGACAUCAAAUAGCCCUUGCAGAGAGAUAAUUCCGGAUUUGUGGUCUUGAUGAAAAGUAUUUAUUAUCUAACCUCCAAAUAUAGACCCCCUCCGAUCAGUACUGAUUGGGAUUCGCAGACAAGGUCGGGAGGCCCCUUUUGCUAACUGAGAAGCCUGUGAACCAUAUGAUAUACCCUCCAUCCUUUGCCCAUCUCCCCACCCUCCCAACCCCCAACUCCCUAACAAGGUGAUUUCCGAAAACUCAGCAACUCUGGUUUUGGAAACUUUCUCUUCUUGUGCAUUGCAUUUACUGGUUUUCCGGGUGCCCCCACACCCUCAUCCUGGUAAUUCUAUUUGGAUGGAUUGUUGGUUUAUUUAGGUUUACCCUCCCGAGGCUUUUAUUUAUGCCAGCGUUUGUGGUCCAAGCCUAGGCUUUCGGGAAAGGCAACCACGAGGGUGCAUGUGUUCGGUGUGCAGAUAUUUUCCCGAGAGUUGGCAGGCAUGGAAUAUUCUGUUCACUCGAGCCCCUGACUUCAGGCCCGUCUGUAAGAUGAGAGAAGAGAGGAAAUCCCUAAGUGAGGGGUUUGGGGGAGAAGAGGGUGAGGUCUGGGUGUUUCUUUUCCGUCUUCUGUUUUCCAAAGAGAGGCUGGCGGCCCCUCUCGCAUCCCCCCUCCCCCACCACUUUGCGUCCUGGCUCCUGGAGCUGCUUAGUUGUUGGAGCAAAGCGGGAAGAAACGUGUGUUUGUGUGUGGUGGGUGGGCGGAGGCUCUAAGGAGGUAGGGACUGUGUCUGCUGCGCAGUUUGUUAUAGGAUGUUGCAGUCCUCUUUUGCAUACUGGCAGUGACAAGUUCAGGCUUGUUCAUCUGACACAGUCCUGUGGUCACAACGAAUCUGUCUGAAGCUUUAACCAAUGGAGAAGGGUGUUGGAUGGAUCCUCUGAACACUCAGUGGGACUUCCUGAAAGAUUUAUUAGGAGAAAAACCUUCCUGGAAGCAGCAGCAGAACAAGCCCAGAGUGGCUGGGCUGGGCAGGAGCCUCCUGGCCUGAUCGCCACUGUUUGGGAGCAAUUACAUCCUGGAGAUAUCUGUGGGAUGGCCGUUGUGUACCAGACACUGCUCAAGAUUUUGGAUCUUCAGCAGUGAUCACAACAGAUACAGUACCAGUUCUAAAGGGGCUUAUUACUUAGUGGGGAGACAAGCAAACAUACACCAAAGUGUAAGGAAUAUGAAAGAAUAUGAAAUAGAAUAAUAUGGACGAGAGCUUGUUUGAGAUGAAGGGAUUCAUACUGAAAUGCUGCAUUUGAGUGAAGUAUGAAGAUUUUGGGGAAGUUAACCAAAGAAGGAGAAAAUCACAAAGAAAAAGGAAAAGGUUGAUAAAAAUGAAAAUAGUAAAGAAAAAAGGAAUAUCUAAGUUAAAAAAAAAAAGCUUUCAUAAUAAAGAAGAGUUCCCCAAAGUCAAUAACAAACCAAACAGCCUCAUAGCAAAGUGAGUAGAAGAUAUGAAUAAACAGUUCUCAAAAGAAAAAAGCAGAAUGGAAAAUAGAUGUGAAAAGAUUCUGAAUCUCCCUAAUAUAGCUGCGUGUGUUGAGGUCUGAUCUGUUGAUAGUAGAAACUACUUUUUUUUAGUAGGUAGUGGUAGGCAGUUCAAUAGAGGCACACAGCUCUGUAACAUCAUCUUGGAAUCAUUACCAUCAACCUCAGGAACAUCUCCAUCACCCCUCAAACAUCCCUCCUGCUUCUUUGUAGUCAGUCUCCUCCCUGGUCCCCAGCUUCUAACAACCACGAAUUUGCUUCCUGACCUCACGGUUUUGUCUUUUGCUUAUAAGUGGCAUCAUCCAGAAUGCAGUUUUUGAGUCUGGUUUCUCUCAUGCGCGUGAGCUCUUCCAUGUUGUCUGUGUCAGUCGUUUGGUGGAUUAGAUUGCAGAUGAGUGUCUUGUUCUCUGGAUAUCCCGCUGUUUCUUUACCCAUCUUCCACCAGGAGGGCACUUGAGUUGUUUCUGGGGCACAUUUCUCCCCGUGUUUCAAAAUGUCCCCGAAAUAGGAGGUCUGACUCGAGUCUUGAGAAGGCUGUGUGUGGCCUGGUGUCCCCUGACUCAGCUAGUGAAUGUGAGGUCACUUGAAAGACCAACUGGCAGCUUGCAAUGAAAUCGAAAACACACGUGCAGCCCCACACCUUGGUACAUUUGAGAAUUCACAGCUCAUGUUCUGUGUUAUUGAAGGAUACUUAGAGGUGGAUGUGAAUGUCUAAAAGAAAUGGAAGGAUCUAGAUCAAACUCACUCUCAUCCUCCUGGGAGAGAGAAGAGGAUGAGGCGGGUGGUGUGCUUUGUAGGGGAAGACUAUAGACACAUGUAUCACGUAUGCAUUUUGAAACUAUAUAGUAAGGAAAGCAGCCUGGGUACAUCCACGGCCGUGUGUUCAUGGUUGUAAAUUCAAGCUUCUUUGUUGUCCAGUCACUAAGUCAUGUCCGAGUCUAGAGACCCCAUGGACUGCAGCCUAUCAGGCUCCUCUAUCCAUGGAAUUCUCCAGGCAAGAAUACUGGAGUGGGUUGCCAUUUCCUCCUCCAGGGGAUCUUCCUCACCCAGGGUUCGAACCCCUGUCUCCUCUGUGUCCUGCAUUGCAGGCUCUUCUUUACCCAGUGAGCCAUUAGGGCUAGAUAUUACCCCAUAGUCCACUUAAGUCAUAAUUCAUUCAUUGGGGGCUAGGGUAGCCUUGGGAUCAUUCAACCAAUCAUCUCAGAGAUUUCGAGAAGAGAUCACUCCUAUCCUUGUCAUGUGUUGCUUCUUACAAAACGACAAUUGAUUGCAUUUGGUCCAAGAAACAAACCUGUGAGGUGAAGGCCACACUGACCCGGCCGGGUUGACACUCAGAGGACACCUCUGGUGGGGAUGGCAUCCUGCUCAUCAGCCUUGCAGGGCCGCCCUCCCCUCAGAGCACGGGGGGCGGGGGAGUAUGGGGGGGUCAGUAGAGAGAGAUGGUCUCCCAGAAGGGGCUCUCGAAGUAGGAGAGCUCCCCUUGGCCUUUGCUUGAGCCUCCAUUGUCUUCUCCCUAUGCCUCAAGGGUGGCCCCAGGCAGUAUCUCUUCCCUGUCAUUUGCCUGGACAAUCCAUACAUGCUUUCUCGAUUGCAAACAUUCCCCACAUACUUAGGGAUGCCAAAGGACGGGGGCGAUCACUGUGUCAGUCCUGGCAACGUGUGGAGGUGGUCUUGGCAGCCACGCCUUAGACAGCACCCUAUGAUCUUUGCGUUCUAUACCUGAGCAGUUGUGGACACCUUUGACCUGUGACUGUGCACUCUUUCCACUUUGGUCCAGCAGCCCGAUCUGACCUCACUGGCUCCAGAAUGCACUGCUCCCCCCCGCCCCCAAAGCAUCCGCCACCGGCCCCAGCUGUCUCCAUGCUUCCCCGCCUGCCUUCCUCCUGGCUUUCAAAAGGGCAAACUAGACCCUGAGACUCAGCGACUUAAAAGCUUUUAAUAGCUUCCCAUUAUGAGUUCGAGUACCUGCUGUAUUAUAGACCCUCUAUAGAUUGAAUUGCUGAGGGAUAUAGACCCAUGGAUCUGGGCUAAGGACCCCGCUCUCCCCAGCCCUUCAGGCUGAGUGCUUCCUGCCAGAUGGUUGCCUCUGCUUGGAGCAGAAGGAGGGCUUGUCUGAUCAGAGGCAGCUGGGGAAUGCGGGGUCUGCCUGAGGAAGGUUUGGAAUGAUGUGAUUCGUUUAGAGGAUGGGUGCGUGCGGAUUCGCUUCUGACAUCCGUGUCUCAUCCAGCUGGGGAAACGGGACAGGUUUCGGUUCCUUUCCGCACUUCAUCUCCAAACAAAAUCCUACUGAUGCUUUCUGACUGGGCUUAGGGGUCACCUCCUCCAGGAAGCACGCCUCCAUCCCCUCCCCGCACCCUGAGUUACGGCAGCUCACAUCCCGUUGUUUUGGGUUGCGGCCAUGGGUACCCAUCAGGGCUUGCAGACUCAGCUGCUUAGGAAGAUGAUCCAAUGAUAUAAAUGUACCAUGUGGACUCCAAGCAGCACAGGAGGACAUGCGGACUAGCCCACAACUGGUCCCCUCUCCAAACCCAGCAGCUGCUUUUUGAGUCCAGCUCCUUCCCAGCUCCCUGUUUCCCCCAGGCCACAGAGGAGAUUCAGCGUUGCCAGACCUUCUACUUGUGAAAGAGAAGCCAGGGAUUUUUUUUUUCUUUAAGUUCUAAUUUUCAAAUGUUUCAAUUUAGAUUUUUGAAGACCCCUCGCAGGUCAGACUAAUCACUUGAGGGCCAGCUGUGGCCCCCAAGCCAGCAGUUUGCAA
Long non-coding RNA from Bubalus bubalis (water buffalo), 4463 nucleotides. RefSeq lists it as uncharacterized. Lineage: Eukaryota; Metazoa; Chordata; Mammalia; Artiodactyla; Bovidae. The transcript has 2 exons. The record is from RefSeq and is a predicted model, not a curated record.